CUGAGUUCCUGGGAAGAUCGCGAUGAAAACUGACUCCCUCAUUGGCCUGACAGCCCUCCUCGAUGUCACAUCAGCACCCCUUGAAAAACAUCCCUGGAGACUGAAGAGGAGGAUGACUUGCCCAGGGGACCCCAAGGGGCUCCGUCCUGCCUGCCUGCCCUCAGACAGCAUUCCAGGUUCCGUGAGGACUGAGAUGUUGCACACGGUGUACUCAACCCUGACCCUGGCACGUAGCAGAUACUCACACAAUGGAAAGCUAUUGCGUCUGCCUCUUCACCCCACGUAAAGUGGGAAAGCCCCUCACUCCAGUUCCCGAAUUCAGUUCAAUGACCACACCAUAUUGUGGACCCUGCCUUCCCACUCAGACCUUGUGCUCUCCCUGUGAGCUUCAGGCAGCAAACUACAGCGAGUGCCUUCUACAUGUUAAGCCCUGCCCUGCCCUGGUGACAGCAGAAAUGACAAAGGCCCACUCAGAGGGAAAUAGGACAACCAUGUCCUCGGAGUGACACUCGACAGGCUGUACUGGGACCAAGCCCUGGCCCACUAUUGGUGCCUCUAGGGCACCAUCCACAUAGGA
Lutra lutra (Eurasian river otter) is the source of this 577-nucleotide long non-coding RNA. RefSeq lists it as uncharacterized. The record is from RefSeq and is a predicted model, not a curated record. NCBI's taxonomy places the organism in Eukaryota, Metazoa, Chordata, Mammalia, Carnivora, Mustelidae. The transcript is spliced from 4 exons.